Molecule: non-coding RNA, 2709 nt
Organism: Leptonychotes weddellii (Weddell seal)
Lineage: Eukaryota; Metazoa; Chordata; Mammalia; Carnivora; Phocidae
Source: RefSeq, a predicted model, not a curated record
GUGCGCUGCGGAGCGGGCGUUGGCGCUGGGCGAGGAUCCCGGGCCGCGCUGGAGCCCGCCGGGCUGGCCCUGAGGGUCGGUGCUGGGUGCGUGGUGUGUGCGCUCCGUCUGGGAAGGCCCUGCAGACCCGGGCUGGGGAGCGGCUGGUGUCCUAGGUGCAGAGAAGCUUUCUGCGACGGAGGGCCCGCAGGCCGGGUAGGGGGCCGGGGGCGUCCCGGAGCUGCGGAUCUGCUGACCUGGGCCCAACUUAGGCUGCACUUGUUUCGUCCGCUGAGCGCAAUUUUAAACAGGUGUUGAAGGAGGAGACCGUGGAAAGGAAGUUCUCCAGGGCAGAGAGCGCAAGCCGGCUGACGCUGGGGAUGGCGACAGCACUGGCUAAUGCGCAUUCCCCAGCUCCUCUGAAUCUGAAGAAGGAGGGGCUUCGGAUAGUGAAGGAGGAUCCCUGCUCUACUUGGGAACAGGGAUUCAAGCUGCCAGGAAACAGCACCGGCCUUGGACAAGAACCGCUGUGCAAACAGUUCAGGCAGUUGCGAUAUGAAGAGACCACAGGACCCCGCGAGGCACUGAGCCGGCUCCGGGAGCUCUGCCGACGCUGGCUGCAGCCCGAGACGCACAGCAAGGAGCAGAUCGUGGAGCUGCUGGUGCUGGAGCAGUUCCUGACCAUCCUGCCCGAGGAGCUGCAGGCCCGGGUGCGGGAGCACCACCCGGAGAGCGGCGAGCAGGUGGUGACUGUGCUGGAGGAUUUGCAGCCAGAGCUUGGAGAAGCAGGACAACAUGUGGGCCCAGACCAGGCAAAGAAGCAGAAGAUGCUCGCAGCGCGGGAGCCGCAGGUCCAGGCUGAGCGUGACAUCCCAAAGCCUGAAGAAGAGAAGGGUGAGGAGACAAAGAUUGAGAAUGGGAAGACGGUGGUAGAGACAGAUUUUUGUGGAGGAGUGGAAUCAUCUGGGAAAGUAUCUGAACCCAUAGAACCUCGUCAUGAGGACCCUAACUUGGAAGGGCAGCAGGUCAAGCCCAAGGAGAAGACUGAAUAUAAAUGCUCAGACUGUGGGGAGGGAUUCACCCAGUGCUCAGACCUGAUUAGACACGAAGGGACACACACACAAGGGAAGCUCUGUGAAUCUGAGGCUUGUCAGAGUCCUAGUCCUACUGCACAUCAGAAAAUCCGCUCUAGAGAGAAAGGUCAUCAGUGUCACGAGUGUGGGAAAGCCUUUCAGAGAAGUUCACACCUUGUCAGGCACCAGAAAAUCCAUCUUGGAGAGAAGCCUUACCAGUGCAAAGAGUGUGGAAAGGUCUUUAGCCAGAAUGCAGGCCUUUUGGAACACCUCAGAAUCCAUACUGGAGAGAAACCUUACCUGUGCAUCCAUUGUGGGAAGAACUUCAGGCGCAGCUCCCACCUCAACCGACACCAGAGAAUUCACAGCCAGGAGGAGCCCUGUGAGUGCAAGGAGUGUGGGAAGACCUUCAGUCAGGCCCUUUUCCUCACCCACCACCAGAGAAUCCACAGCCACUCCAGAAGCCAUCGCUGUAACGAGUGCGGGAAAGCCUUCAGUUUGACUUCGGACCUUAUUCGCCAUCACAGGAUUCAUACUGGAGAAAAGCCUUUUAAGUGUGCCAUAUGCCAGAAAGCCUUCCGACUGAACUCCCACCUGGCUCAGCAUGUGAGAAUCCACAACGAAGAAAAACCCUAUGAGUGUAAUGAAUGUGGCGAAGCCUUCAGGCAGAGGUCGGGUCUUUUUCAGCAUCAGAGAUAUCACCACAAACACAGUCUGGCUUGAUGGGGCAUCCUCUCUGCAAGGAACAUGACGGACAGUAUGUUGACAAGCAAACAGCACUUUAGGAAGAGUCACUCCAGCCAAUUCUAGCUUCAGAGAACUCCAGGGGGCCAAGCGGGAGGCUCUUGUCCCUUCACUUGUGCUCAGCCUUGGACCAGAAUGAUUUGAUCCUCGAUGGGACUGUGGGAACAAGCAAAGCAACAUUCUUCACUGCAGGACUUCUCUGAGCCUUUAACAUGGUAAAUGCAUGAUUGCACACCUCCCAAGUAGUAGAGAGCCUCAUGAGUGAGGGCUUUGAAGUCAGCAGUGAGUCAGUCAAGUAUCCACGGAUUUAUAGGCUUGAACAGAACAAGAGCAGAUUAUAGAAACAUUGAACAAAGGGCAAAAUGUUAUGACAAAUCUUGUUGAAGGUUUUGCUUGCAAUGCAACACAUGAUAGAUGCUCUAGAAGGAAAGCUGAAAGUCUAUUCAGAGGGCAGCAACCCAGAAAGGAUGAGCUGUAUUGCAAAGUGUCUUCUACUGAUCAGCUUUUCUGUUGGGAUAGUAUCCUAUAAUGUUCAAAAAAGAGUGGUACUUGUGUGUCUUCAUUUCCUGUUCACUCUCCUGUUUAAAAAACUGAUAAAGUUAUUAAUAAGUGUGCCAUUAUAAAUGUAGUAGGGAAAAACAGGAAAGGGAAAAAUAAAGCCCCUAAUUUUCACCUGUCAAAAAUAAUCACUGUUUAAUGUGCAUAUAUACACACACAUACUCGAAUUGUGAUUAGUCAUUACUAAUUUUCAAUAUAAUUGUCCAUGUUUAUCUUCAUAAAUUCUUAAUAAAUUAACUCUUGUUUAUUAUGAUAGAAAUUCAUAUAUUUUGUAAAAACCUUGAAAAAUGAAAGCAAAUCAUCCUGCUUCAUGGGUCAGGUAUAAUCCCUUAAUAAAGUAUUUUGAGAUACUGAU